CCGCCGCCUCUCCUGCGGGCCGUCACGCGCAGCCGGCGCCCAGCCCGGAGGACCCCGAGCCUGGUCCCCGGGGUUCAGCCCGAGGGCGGAAGGGGGCGCAAGGGGCGCGCUGGGCCCCGAACCCGGAGAGCGGGGCUUCUGCUGUGCGCACCACCGGCCCCGAGGGGGCGCCCGAGCCCGCCCCGGAGCGCCUCGGGGUCAGGCCCGCCCGGCGCCGCCCCCUCAGCGCGACGCCGCUCGGCGGCCCUGGGUCCGCGGCCUGUCACAGUGAGUCCCGGGCGUCCUCCUCAGCCGGGCGAGGAGGGCCUCGGCCGCGGGCCCUCGGAGAAGCGUUUGUCCUCCGAGGCGAGCACGGAACCUUGGAGUCUCCGCCUCGUUCCCACGGGCUUUAUUCUUACGAAAUUCGCGUUUCAGGACCAGAAACACAUGUCCAGCCAGAAGGUCCCUGUGGGAUCCAUGGAGAAAGCGCUGCUUCUGCAGUGAGGACACAAGCUUCAUUCCUGUGGGACUGACCUGGGGAAGUUCCUGUGGCUCUGGGACAACUCAGUGUUUCAUCCAUAGUGAGUAAAAAGCUUCUUGUUUGCGGCCUUUAUGCUGAGGAGGGGGUUUGCCACAGCUUUCCCUCCUUAAAUAGUGAGCACAGAACCUUUCAUUUACUGACUGUGUUCAGGUGUCUUAUUCUUUACUCUGUUUUAUAAUAUUUUAGCAAAAUUUAUUUUACUAUAGUAUCCAUUCAUUGAGGUUUUUGGUGCGUCAAAAUCAUAGCAUACUGUACAAUUUCUUGUUUUUAUUAUAUUAAAUAUUGGGACCUUCCAGUCCCCUGAUCUGAGAACUGGACAGUGCCUAGCUGAGCCAUAUUGGAACCUGAGUGAAAGGGGAAAUGAAGGCCUACCUCAAAGAAAAGUACUGGACAGUAAAGUGGCAGGACAGAUUUUGUUGGAACUAUUACAGCAGGGGAGAAAAGAAGCAACAAUAGCUGGUCUCAGCUCUGAUUAACACUGAGGUGGCUAAAUGUGUUUAAAUGUUUUUAAAGAGGGAAAGAUACAGGGAACAGAAAAUUCCUAAGAGGGGUGUGGGAGAGUUCUGAGGGAAGCUGGUGAUGAGCUUAUGGAACAGGGUCAGAUAGCCAUGCAGUCCUCCUGAGAAAGGGACAUUCCCUGGUUUAGUAGU
This 1170-nucleotide long non-coding RNA is filed under the name Dasypus novemcinctus (nine-banded armadillo). RNAcentral's name for it is "lncRNA (ENSDNOG00000049929.1)". The record is from RNAcentral. Lineage: Eukaryota; Metazoa; Chordata; Mammalia; Cingulata; Dasypodidae.